GGAGCUGGGUUCGAGCGCUGGGGCUGCGGUUGGGAAACUACUGGAGGAUGUGGUGCACCAGAAUAAGAGAAUAAACCAAGAAACAGGAAGACGUGAUCCAGGCAACAGGAUAUUCCAGUAUAGUGUUGGAAACAGAAGCCCAGUAGUGAAAGCUACAGCUGCCAUAUACUUGCAGUGGAAUCACAGGAGCAAUCACAGGUCUUUAUGUGAAGGAGCAAAGAGAAGGAGCCAGAAGCUAGAGGGGGCUGCUUGGUAAGAGCUGUGGUCUUUGCUAAAGGGACACAGACAACCCAUGUGACCUGGCAAUGAGAAAGCCAGAGUACUCUGACCAUCUCUUCCUUAUAUCUUCUCAUCUUCUUUGGAUAUUAAUAAUUGGAUAAACAGAAGCUGAAGUCAGAGGGCAAGGGAGCCAUUCAUGCUGCAGUCCAUGUGGGUCAGCACCCGCUGGGGUCCAGAGUGGGAUGAAGAGGGGUUCUGAAAGGCAAAUGGAAGACAUCUAGUAUAACCUCUCCCUGAACGUAAUUCAAACUACUUAACUAUUAUUACAGACAAAAAUCACAUGUAUGCUGAAAGUAAAAUAACCUGUUUCCAGAAUUUCUGAUUGCAAAAUUCUGAGUUCUUCAAUUAAACCUGCAUUUUUCUCAGUCUUUUUGGUGCCCCUGCUUCACUGGUGCCUUAAGAACAUUUGAGAGCCUAAGGGCAGCCCUGAGCAUGGUGCCUGAACUAGGGUGCCUCAAAACUAGGGACUGAGGAAGUCUCAAGUUCAUUCCUGAAUGCUGACUAUAAGAGUCUCUGAGAGAGUUUUGAGAAUGUAGAACUGAUUUAGAAUGAAUCUCAGGAUUUUUCUGUUAAGAUCUAUAAAUUAGGAAUUAAGGAACUGGAUUUUUUUUGAAUUUGAAAAAUCCUAUGAUAGUAUAACUUUGCAUAAGCCUACUGAAUGAUAGGAAAGUUUUUAGUUUCUUAUCAAAGAAAGAGAAUAAAGUGAAUCAGGACAUCAGUUUCACAUUGACAUUUUUAUUAACGCCAACUGUUUUUUAAUUAUUUUUUUAAAACAAUAGCACAAAAAUGUUUCAAGGAAGCAGUCUCACAAUCUGAUGACCUUCUGAAAUACCGUUAAGCCACACCAAAUAUGAAUUUCUGUUAAUAACACAAAAUAUUUUUUUAAGAAAAAAAGAAAAAAAAGGUAGGGAAAGAAGAAGGGAAUGAGAUUUAGAUUUAAAACUCAUUGGAUUAAAUAGGUGAGGCUUAUUAGGAUAUACUGUUGAAGCAAACAGUGGCACACACAGGCUUACAGUCUUUGUUUUUUAAACCAGUUACCACUAAUGUAUUAAGCCCUGCAGCAGUUACCACUGACUUCUCGCACGCAUAAAAUGAACCGGGAGAAGCCAGUGUUGAUACUGUUGUGAAGAGGUUCAAGAGCUGGCUUUUCAGACAACUAAGACCAUUUUUAGCAGAAUAACUCCUUCAGAAAGGCCUGGCUGAAGAUCUUUUUAUUUCUAUUGUCUCACCUAUAUAAAUUUCAGGGUUCUUAUAAGUCAUCUUUAAAAAGAAAAAAAUAAUGUAUAUCAGUUUCUCUUAUUUAAUGUGGCUAUGAAAGAUGUUUCCUUAUUAUUUCUUCAUCUCUAAGAAGGACACCAGGGAAUGGGGGUUGGGGGUGGAACUAAAGGGAGGAAAAAAACCAGAACAGGGUAGGUUUUUGUUUUUUGCUUUUUGUUUUUUUUUGGCCAAGGGGUCGGUCACACAGAAGGGAAGGCAAGGAGGAAAACUAAACUACAAUCCUUGGUUCAGAUUGAGUUAUGCAGGAAUAUAUCUUCCUGAUCAGUCCCCGUGCCAAAAAAAAAAAAAGCCACUUGGAAUUAUGCACUGACUCCAACUAUGUGAUACCAGCUAUCAGCCUUUUGUGUUUAACCAUUCCCAGAAAUGGACACCACCCUUGGCUUUAUAGGCUCCUUGCAGAACCCACUUCACAAAAAUGCUCUUCACCAAGAAGCCUCUAGUUUCCUUUUGGUAGGUUAUAAAAACAGAACAUCUGUCAUUAACAGUAGAGUGUUAAAUACUUUUAACCACUGACAAGGCUUCAGAAAGUUUCACAGUUUCGUUAUGCUCUAUUUUAUUACUAUCAUAUUUACAUUUUUAUUUUUUAUUUAUUUUUUGCUGAAUUGCUGAUUUUCCUUUUUCAAUAGAAUUUAAUUCUGGAGUGUGAGCAGGAACCAGUUAACUACAUUCAUUGUCCAACCCCCACUGGUUUGAAAGAAGACUCCAAAUUCUUGGCAUAUGAAUCAGCUGUUCGGUAGCUCCACCUUAUCCCUGCAGCGAAGCAGCAGAACCGCCAAUGGCGGCACCUCAGGAUUCACACUGUGGGUGGUGAGGCCUUCCGCUGAAGGAGGUACUGGUGGAUGCUCUCAGCAUCUCGCUUUAGCCAGGCAGCAUUCAGCAGAAUAUUUUCACAACACUGCUGGAUGGUACGCUCAGCUGAAGGAGCUGGGUGACUCUCGAAGAAAGCCUGGUAUAAAACAACCCAGAAUGCAGGAUCAUUACUAGCAAUAAGAAGUUAAUAUUACAGGUUAUGAAAAAAUACCCACUGGUCUAUAUGAAGGAUGCAUAAUCUUCAGGCAUGAGAAUUUACCACUGCCACCCUCAGGCUAAAAGAAAACAAGCAACUCCUUGGACCUGCAUAUAGGAAUUCUCCCCUUAAUUAUAUGCUUAACAACCUAAUCAAAAGUUAAUAAAGAGACAGAACCUAC
Molecule: long non-coding RNA, 2744 nt
Filed under: Homo sapiens (human)
Lineage: Eukaryota; Metazoa; Chordata; Mammalia; Primates; Hominidae
Description: KPNB1 divergent transcript (KPNB1-DT)
Source: RNAcentral